UCAAACUGGAGUUCGGACUCCGGACCGGCAUUUCUGCUUGUUGGUACCCUGAGGUAAGUAAACUUUCUACAUUUUUGAAACGAUAUUACACUCUAAAAAACGUGAGCCAGUUGGGUUAUUUUGUUUGGUUGUUUUAUCAGUGUUGGGUAGUUAUAUGUUGGGUAAUUUUGAAGCAGAGCCAGCUUAAUAGAUACAUAGCUGUUUUUCAAUAUUACUUUCUCUAGUCCACAAAAUGUAUUUUAAACAUAAGUUCAGGCGAGAAUAUAUAUGUAUAAUGUUCAAAUUUGCAGUCGGUUUGUAAAGUGAACGCCAAUUUUAAAGUUUAAUUACACAAAGUCGGAAUGUUUCCGGCGUGACCACCGGGUGUCAGUGUUGUUCUUCCCCAGAGAGAACUCGUCCCUUCCCCCACACAGAUGCGUCAGCUGAACUUCUGCUCUCACUCACUGCAACGAUACCUGAAGCGGGAGUUUACUAUUCACCUCACGAUUCAUGAACGGUUUUUCAUCGACUUAUCUUUGAUUUAUUUGAAGGAAAAGACCCUGAUGGAUAAAAGAUGGAUAUUUUUUUCCUGGAGAAGCUAAAACAAUGUAACUUUGAGGUUCUGAUACCAGCUUUUACAACGUUAUUUACAGAGUUCACCAGACUUCUCUGUGGUAUUUCCUGACCAUGCCGAAAAGCUAUUUGAAACUUGGGCAUUGCAUUUUCCAGACAGAAUCCUGCAACUUCCCAGCCAAGAACCAGGAGCAUCAACAAAUCACCUCCAGAACCCCAUGAUGAUAUUCCAACUCCUGUCUACAAAAGUGGGAAGAAAAUCUUAAGUCUAUGUUGGGACCAACAUGGUUGCAUUCUUCUGAGAGGCUGAUGUGACAAAACCAUUCCCAUUUGUCCUUGGAUUGGAAGAUGGCGAUCUCUGCCAUCAAGCCUUCGUUGUUUUUGACAGACAGUCACUCCAGCAAUACACCCUCCUUGGUGAUGUUGACAUGUUUUGACCUUUUUUUUUAUGUUUUGGACAUUAAUUUUACUAAGCAGUGCACAUCAGUGUGGGUGUUUUUGAAGACUGUUGUUUACAAACUCCCAAGAACGGAAUCCCUUUCUAUAAGAAGUCUGUGAAGUUAUUUGUCAUGCUAAGGUGAUAACUCAUGUUGAUCAUAUAUUGACUGUUUGUGCAACUUUGUGUUGAUCUUAUGUGUUACAUUAACAAUUUCUUAUUACACGGUUCUCUAAAAUGCUAGAUUCUGAUUGGCCAGUCGUGACAUUCUACUACUGCUCAAAACUAAGGGGCUGGACACACCAAAACUUUUAAACGCCUUGAGGACGCCAAAUGCCAGCUGUUUUUCAGCUGAGUGCCAGCUUUCUUCAGCUGAGCGCUUUGGUAGCUGUGAUACUUCAGCUGCGAGCCGGUUGGUUGCUGUGGUAAUGUCCCGCCCCUCCUCCACUGUGAUUGGGCGGCUGUGUGAGAACUGACAUUGACGAGCGGAGCUUUUCUCCCAAAGUUGAAUCUCUUUCAACUCUCGACGCUCAGCGCCGAGCGCGGAAAAACCGCCGAGCGCCGGUUUUCAGCGCGGAAAAAAAACGCUAGCUGCUGGCUUAUUUGAAAAACGCCGAGCUUCCAUUGGAAACAAUUGAAAACAUGCGCCGGCCGCGGGCGUAAAAGUUUUGGUGUACACAACCCCUAAAAACUCCAAUGCUGCAAAUAAUUUUGACAGGUAAAGUUUUAUAUUACACAAAAAUUAAAUAUCAAUGUCUAUUAAUUACAUAUCCGACAUUAAAUUUAUAAAUGAUUAAAUGUGUUCGUGACAUUUGUCCUGAAGAAACUGUUGGGGCUUUUUUCUGUGAUGACAUGCUGCCAAUACAUUAUCCCUUACUUGUACAACUUUUUACUUGAUCUAAUUGUAAUGUUAACUGGGUGUCUGUCAUUUUAGAUUGUGAGAUAUAAUACUAAUAUAUUUUUUUUAUAUAUAUUUAUUUAUUUAUUUAUAUAUAAUAUAUAAACGUAUGUAUGUUUAUUAAAAAGUGAAAAUGCUUAAUGGAAAUAAUUAAAUAACUAAAUGGUUGAAUGAAAUGAGACAUUUUAAAUGUAAACUAAAGUUUUGCUGUCUAAUACAGAAUAAAGAGAUGUGAUUUUAAGUAAUUUUUAUAGAUUUAUAUUUCUGUAUAAUACAAUUAAUAAAUAGUAAACUUUUAUAAUUUUCUGGAUCGGUUAUAAUUUCUUAUCAAUAAUAAAUUACUCAUAAUAAUAAAGAACCUUUAAUGGUUCUAAAUAGAACCAUCUAACUUUGAUUCAAAGAACCAUUUGGGGUUCGUUUUAAUGAACCCAUUAAAGUGGUUCUAUGUUGAACCAUUUGGGGGUUCCAUAUAUGAAGCGGGUGAUAGAACCAUUUCUGGUCCGAUAUAGAACCAUUUUUUUUAA
This is a long non-coding RNA of Paramisgurnus dabryanus, 2410 nucleotides long. RefSeq lists it as uncharacterized. Lineage: Eukaryota; Metazoa; Chordata; Actinopteri; Cypriniformes; Cobitidae. The record is from RefSeq and is a predicted model, not a curated record.